RNAcentral lists this ribosomal RNA (515 nucleotides) under uncultured euryarchaeote. RNAcentral describes it as "bacterial SSU rRNA". It matches the Rfam family "Archaeal small subunit ribosomal RNA", at positions 354 to 869 of the family's 1478-position model. Lineage: Archaea; Methanobacteriati; Methanobacteriota. The record is from RNAcentral.
CAUGGGGGAAACCCCGACAAGGGAAAACCAAGUGCCAACGCAAUGCGUUGGCUGUUUUCCUGUCUAAAAAACAGGGGAGGAGUAAGGGCUGGGUAAGACGGGUGCCAGCCGCCGCGGUAAUACCUGCAGCCCAAGUGGUGCUCGUUAUUAUUGGGUCUAAAUCGUCCGUAGUCGGCCGGGUAGAUGCCUGGGUAAAUCGAGGCGCUCAACGUCUCGAAUUCCAGGUAGACCGCCCGGCUUGGGAUCGGGUGAGGUGCGAGGUACUUCGGGGGUAGGGGUAAAAUCCUGUAAUCCUCUAGGGACCACCAGUGGCGAAGGCGUCUCACUAGAACGAGUCCGACGAUCAGGGACGAAGCCCUGGGGCGCAAACGGGAUUAGAUACCCCGGUAGUCCAGGGUGUAAACGCUGUGGGCUUGGUGUCGGGGAUCCUACGAGGGUUCCCGGUGCCGGAGCGAAGGUGUUAAGCCUACAACCUGGGGAGUACGGUCGCAAGACUGAAACUUAAAGGAAUUGGC